AUGAUGUUUGCACUUCCCUUCAAGGCACCGAGGCAGCGAGACUCUGAGGAUGAUGCCCAGAGGGAGAGUUUGGAUGAGGUCCAAGAGGAAAGAAAGCUGAAGCCUUUUUGGGCAGGUGUAACCCAUGUCCCUGUAUGCGUCCCAGGGGUCAUCCUCAAAUACUGCCGUGGUCUUGGUGCCCAGAGUCUUCUUAGCAGGUGGGACUCUCCUGUCUUCACCAGUCUGUUGGGAUCAGCUCAGCCAGCCUGGUUAAAGGGUGUGGCCCUUCCAGAUGAGGAGUUCAACAAGACUACAUGGUAG
Molecule: long non-coding RNA, 300 nt
Filed under: Macaca mulatta (Rhesus monkey)
Lineage: Eukaryota; Metazoa; Chordata; Mammalia; Primates; Cercopithecidae
Description: lncRNA (ENSMMUG00000064907.1)
Source: RNAcentral